Ostrinia nubilalis (European corn borer) is the source of this 10109-nucleotide long non-coding RNA. RefSeq lists it as uncharacterized. The transcript is spliced from 3 exons. The record is from RefSeq and is a predicted model, not a curated record. Lineage: Eukaryota; Metazoa; Arthropoda; Insecta; Lepidoptera; Crambidae.
AGUGCGGUCCCCUCGCGCGUCAGGUAUAAAAGCCGCGCAUGACGUAAGCGCCCACAUUUCAAAUCUGGACGUUGUGCUGUGAAGACGUGACUGUGUUGUGAAGUGCUCCUCGAGUUCACCAUUGGGAAUUUUGCCUGUACGGAUUCAGUCCCAUUGCGUUUCGCGCGUGGGUCUGCCAUCCGUCGGCCGCCAUCUUGGUUGCCGCUGGGGCGCGGUCGCUGCUAGCCACAAAAUGGGUUUGUAGUAAACGGUAUCAUGCAUUUAUUUAGUUAGUUAGUUUUAUUAAAUUGUAAAUGUUUCAAUUUAUUCUAUUACUAAAGGGUAAAUUCGGAAUUUGUGUUUAUUCAUAUUGAAUAGUGAAAAUUAUUGUAACAUAUGUUUAAGUAUGAUAAUAAUAAAAGAUUUUUCAAAACAAAUAGUGUUCUCAAUACAAUUUCUUUUUGUUUACUGAUAUUUCACCACACACAAAUGUAUUAUUCCAUGAGUCAUCAUCUUCACUUCGUGGAGAAACUUGGUCGUCAUGCUGGCGCAAUCGAGCUGCCGAUUACGAAUCCGCUGCGGAAGGUCGAGGGUCGGGGCGCUGCUAUUGCCUCCUCCUGCGUAACCCACGCCUGCACACAAGCUGCGUGCGAGGACAUACACUCGAGUCCCGGUUGUCAGCCCACUGACUAGGUAACAGAUAGGACAUAGCGUCAUGAUUUCACCACUUAGCUAGAAGGUACUUUUAGGCCCCCACGGGGGCCUCUGGUUAACUUUGUCUUUAGACCUCAGAAUCCAGACGUUGCCAGAGCGGCUGCAACAAGCUAAUAUCUGCGGUCUCCGUCGCGACGGAGAAACGAGGUCACGAAGUGAGUCAUAGCUACACACAAACACAAGUGUGACGCAUCCCGCUCGGUGAGUCGAUUGCUGUACAAGUAAAUGGAAAAUUACCACGUUUCUUAUUACUCAUACUGACUGUGAUACAAAUUGAUUAUGAUAAUCAAAAGUACCUGCUGAUCACAGGUCGUGUAUUUAGGAAAUGUUUAACUCUUAACUGCCUACGGGCUAUGUGCGUAAAUAACACUCCACUCAAACAGGGCUAGAGGAGUAGCCAACUAGCGAUACUGUAGCGACGUCAAGACGGGCAGGGCAGACGGCUGGCGGGCUUCGAGCGGAUCCUGUUCCUGACAUCUCACGACCAGCCUCCAUCGAGCUGUCUGCUGUGGAGUGGCCAGCCGGCUCCGAAGCCGGCGGUGCCCCGCUGCCCGCCUGCCGAAACCGUCACUACGGCUCUCACCUUAGGUAAAAACCAGGCAAAUAAUUUUUCAGAUAACUAUGAGUAGUCAAGUGCAUGUUUCACUUUCAUGACAAAUCUCAAGCAGAGAACUUUAAAUAUAAUAACAAUCAUAAUUAGUUGCUAUAAAACGAAAAAAUGUAAGAAAUAAGUGAAAUCAUGAUGAAAUCAAACGCAACGUGUGGGCUGAUAUAUCUCCGGGACGCAGGACUAAUAAUUAUAUUCUCAGGAUCCAUAUCAAAUUAUAAUCUCAAAUACAAGAAAUAAACAAUAAUGAUAAGGCUGUAAUAACUAUUGAGGUCAAAUGGAGAUCUAGUAAUUCAAUAAUGGUAAGUUUACUGACUACUGCAUCUAAUUUCUUUACUGAUCUGGUUUAGGGAUAUUAUAAUCAUUUAUUCUGAUAAUAAUGAUACUUAAUAAAAUGGGUCAUUUUUACUCUUAUGUGAUAAAUAACAUUGUUUGAGAAAGAUAUUUGGAAUAAGCUACCUUACAAUACUUUUAACAAUAAUCUCUCGACUCUAAUUGAACCACGAUUACGUCAUCAUCGACGUAAUCAACAAGUAGGUAAUUGCGAAACCAUUUACUGAUAUGAAUGUGUAAACUUCACAGCUAACUGGACUCGAGCCGAAGUAGACGUGAACCGCAGUUUCACGCCGCGAAACGAAACUCAAGUCUGAAGGCUAUCGUCUCCAGUUCUCAUUAGAAAAUGGACAUCACGAACAGAUAAGUCCAAUGAUGUACCACAAUUUUAGUACAACCUAACAGGUUGCCCUAUAUAAUCAAAAUACGCAGAACAAAUGCCUGAUUGAAAAUUAUAGAAUUAGCAUCGAGGUUGGGUGCAAUUCUUGAUAAUUGUCUGAUUGACUGUGACGAAAGGACCGAGUUUGAAGAGUUGAAAGCACAGAUUCAAAACUACCUAAUUCAAUGUCUUUUUAAAAUAACACUGCAGUUUGCGACAUUAGAGACAGUUGUUGUAGCUGAAAUAUUUCGAAUUCACAACUAAGAUGAUCCAAGAUAAACCAAUAUUUAAACCAGAUAAUGCACUUAUUAAAAUACAAAUUGAAAUCCUGGAAAAUUUAUACGAUAUAAAUAAUUUAUUCUAUGAACAUUAGAGGUAUUUUUAACGAAAUCCUAAUCAAGCUAUUGUAAAUAUAUCUGACUUCGCUGGACUUGUUCGCAAGUCGUGUUUUGCUUCGAAAAUAUCAUGACAUUUACAGGUUAUUUCAAAGGACGAUAAAUAUCGAUAUAGAAAUGUUCCAAUAUUUGGAGUCAUAAAAUGGACCACAAAUAGCCUAAUUGGCAACACAUAUUCUACAAACAGGAGACCUACAAAAUUAUUGUGACUAUUCGUCGCAUAUAAUAUUUUCCUUCAGACAAUCCUGUCUUCAUCAGAUUCUAGGACUCCCACCGAAUUACCAUUCCUUCAAAACUUAUCAUCACAAAGUCAAAUGGAUCCGAACUACCCAAACUCCAGACAUCUGGCAGAUCUCUUACAAAUACAAAACUUAAUGAUUUCCGAGUUUAACACAGGUAUUCCCAACAUCAUUUUAUUUUUAUUUUUUCAUCUAACAUCAUUAAUUCUAUUUUAUAUAUUUAUUUAUUUAUUUAAUAUUCCUUUGUAAUAUUAUGUUCUAUUAAGUAUUUAGAAUGCCGAUAGUACGGCACAGCACUUUUCUAUUGGAGUUGAACUUUAUUUUUCCUAACAUAUUCGAUGUUUCGUAUGUUGCUUCCCCUGUGUUUUGUAUAGCUAGGUGGCUGUCAUUUCCUGAACGAAGCAUGUCGAGUACUCUGAUCCCAGACUUGGAAUGUGGGAAUUUCUGUUUGUCUAUACCACUACCAUGGACAUCAAUACAUCAUAUUGUCCGCCCACUACAAUAUUAAUAUUUUCUUCAAUAUUAUUAUAAACUGGAGCUAUUAUAAACCUGGACCCUCCCGAGAAAUAUUUUUUGAAACAUUGGAGCUGUUUUAUGGAAUUUAUCUCAUUUGAAGUUGCACUAACGCUAAGCCAUUAAAAGAAAAUGCAAGAUUUAUGUGACCAAUGAGUCCCUACCACUACACGAUAUUUUCUGUAACAGGGAAAUAACUUAGAACUCGUGUAAGUAAUGUGUGAUGUUUGAAUGGAAAAUUAAAGCCAUCAGUUUGAUAAUCAAAAUGAAGGAGGUACAUUUUCCGUUUGUUUUUCAUUACAUACUUAUUGGUGUGUAGAUGCUGCAUGUUGGUAUGUCAAUUUGUUUUUAUCGUAAACUAAGUAAUUAAUACUGAUUAAUACGAAAAAAACACUGAUUACACCUUUUAUACACCACUCGUUAUAAAUUAAACUACCUCUGCAGAGCUAUCGUUCAAUGGUGUAUGGUUCAUGCUUUUUUCGUUGAGCUUGUUUUACAUUUGGACUGCUUGUGCAGUCUUAGAUUGUUUAAAUUUUAUUUGUUUAGGUUCCAAGAUUGAACAGGAAAAUGCGAAUAUCCUACCUAUUAUGUGACAACAAAUAUUAUAAAUCUAAUUUGAAAUUGCAAGAUAAAUGAAAACAUUUCAAGAAGGUGAUGAGUAUUAAUACAAUAAAUGCCCUAAAAAGGGCCAAAUACACAAAUUAGGAUAUUGAAUGACUAUACUUCUGGGCGGCAUAAGAAGAACGCACGUUUCGUUAGAAGUUGCGCUUGCGCAUAAUCAUAAUUAUUCCAGGUUUUCAGUGUCGUGUGUCUGUUUAGCCUAGGUUACCCACUGAUCCAGUGAUUGCAAUAAAACCUAACAAAAUGUAACAAUAAAACGAGUUUCACGCAUUUGACGAGCUUUGGCGCAGCGACGAGCAUUGGAGAUUCUCAAUACUGUUAAUAUUUCCUUUGAGAAGUAGUUCAAAGAAAAUAAAAUCAUGCAAAGCAAUAAAUAAUCUAGAAGAAACUGUACAAAAUGUGAAUUCUGCGAAUGGCUUUUUAUAGCGAAUGAGUUUGAAUUAUUUUGGGUGGAGGCUGUAAAUAUAAUCUUUCCUACUAUAUGGACACUGGUAUGUUAUGCUAUAGUUAAUUUGAGCGAUAUGUAAGUUCUAGACAUUAGGUUUGUUAUUGGUUGCGGCUUAUGCAACCCGAUCCGACCAUUACGUUGCCUUGUCUAUGUACACAGAUGUCUGCAAAGCUGAUACUGAUGUUGCCACGUUCAUCCGCAAUAUAGCAGGCACGCAUGGCUGCACUGCUGUUUACAACUAAGUAACUCAUUUCAUUAUGUCAAUAAGUCAAUCUUCGUUUGCUGAAAACACCUCGGCGUAACGCUACAGAUUCCAGUUGAAUCAAGGUUAAAUUUAAACGUAUUUCACUUUACAAACUCUGGUCUCCGGUCUGCUUGUCUCUACUUCUGGUGAAGUCUUGCAACCAGUCACACGGUAAAUCAAAUUGCACAAAUCUCUCUCGCUCUCUCUCUCUCUCUCUCUUCUUUUUAGUGCAUAUGCAGCUGCGAUAUGAAGUCGUAUGUUUACAGCAUGGCAGAAAUAGAUUUGGAUCACCUAUCCAAGAUGUGUGCAAAAUGCUGCUACAUUUCAUGGUACCUACCUAGUUUCUGUUACAAGAACAAGAUCCUGAAAAAAUAGAUCCAAUGCCUCCCGAAUCCAGAAAGUAUUGUUUUUGUGGAAAUUUGGAACCACCAUAAUUUGAAGACAUGCAUCAUCAUCCAACCCAUUAAAUGCAAGUAGUGAGUCCUAGCUCUGUGUGUCACAGAACUUGCAUGCUAUGAAAUCUUUUCCCUCCAGAUGUUGAAACCGCUUGUGGAACUGUUUGGAGGCCUAAGAACUUCUUAUUGCAACGGCAGCCUAUUAGCCAGGCCUUUCGACGGGUAAAAGAUACUAAUUUAGUUUCUUCCAGGGCUGCCAAUGGUCCAUUAAUACCACAUUCAUUCAAUAUCCUUGCUUCCUACGUGAUUAUGAAAAAUGCAUCGAGGAAGCCUUAAAGCAUGGUAACUUUUAAACUCAGCUGUAGACCACAAUGAGUAACGAAUCUUUCGAAAGUGAAGUUAUUGGUGACUAACAUCGUGACGCUGGUGAUGCUACUUAUUCUGAGGGUACGCCUUUUGCAUUAUUCUUUGUAAAUAACCUGCGACUGAGAGAGAAAGCCUCAGAAACGCAAUUUGUUUGCUUAAUGUUAUUGCAGCUUCUUUGAUAUCCGGUUCGAUCGAACAACGCGAGUAUUCUGAAGUGCAAUGGUCCUUUCUGCAGUUAUCCGGUACAUGCCUCUAUCAGCCAAAAAUCAAUGCUAGCAGCAAAGCAGCGUGUAAAACUGAAUCGUUUGGGCUUAUCUAUAAUCAAUCGCCGACCAGCCUGUUAUGAUGAGUGGCAUAACUGCGUAAUGAAUCGACCGCAAAUACCACCUAAUGUAAAGCGCACAAGCCAGGUGUAGGUACUCGUAAGUUUUGUAUAAUUAUGUAGAUUCCCGAACUAAUGCGGAAAAUGGUUAAAAAUUAACAUAAACUGUAGGAUAGACAAUGCGUAAGUUUUAUGUUUUCACAGCAAAUAUCCUGCUUGCAAGGCAGUUAGAACGCUGAAAAAUUAUACAGGUUUAAACAGUACAAUGGCACCACUACGAUGCAUAUGCGGUUCAACUCACGAUGCGACACUGAUGAGGGCGGCGCGGUAGUUGACAUCGUAGAAAAUGUUUGCUGCCAACAUCCAGAGAACAUUCUGUCUUCACCAAAUCGAAGUUGCUGCGUCAAUCUAAACGCCAGGGUAUGCCGUGCUUUGUUUUCGCUAGAUUUGUUUAACUGCAUCUCCGUAAAAGGAAACGUAGUCGGCUAGAGGUAAGACCUCGGGCACAUGACCUUCCCUUAGUGUUUUCGCAGCCAGAGCACAAUAUGGGUGAAGAGUGCUGAUGCUACCUAGCCAAGCUUUCCUGUACCUACAUCGAUAAAUCCUACGGCGCGGCGUUAUGUUGUAUGUAACUGAGCUGUCUACAAAUUCUACAAUGCGAAGAGGAGCACCUCUCGGCAAAGUUCCUUGAAAACGAUGAUCCUGGCGGUAAACGGAUUAUUUUGAUAAAUUACUUACAAUUAGAUAAAUAUUUGCUUCUUUGUCAAAUAUUCCCAAGUUACGAGGCUUCGGGACAUGCAAUCCUUUCAGUUCGUAUUUUACAGUCGGAGUAUCAUGCAUCCCAAGUGACAGGACGGAAGACCCUGAUCUUCGCAGCAACCAGCUCUCAAUUCGCUCCUGGUGAUAAUCAGAUUAUUUUGAGAAAUUGAUAUACAAACAGAUAAAUAUCUGCUUCUUGGUCAAAUAUUCCCGAGCUACGAGACUUCGGGACAAUCCGUUUAGUUCGACUUUUACAGUCGGAGUUUCUUGCAUCCCAAGUGAAAGGACGGAAGACCCUGAUCUUCGCAGCAUCCAGAUAAUACCAGCUCUCAAUUCGACCCUGGCGGUAAUCAGAUUAAUUUUGAUAAACAAUUAGAUCAAUAUCUAUUUCUUGGUCAAAUAUUCCCAAGCUACGAGGCUUCGGGACAUGCAAUCCGUUCUGUUCGUAUUUUACAGUCGGAGUAUCUUGCAUCACAAGUGAAAGUGUGGAAGAUCCUGAUCUUCGCAGCAUCCAGAUAAUAUCAGCUCUCAAUUCGACCCUGGUGGUAAUCAGAUUAAUUUUGAUAAACAAUUAGUUAGAUCAAUCUGCUUCUUGGUCAAAUAUUCCCAAGCUACGAGGCUUCGGGACAAUCCGUUCAGUUCGUAUUUUACAGUUGGAGUAUCUUGCAUCCCAAGUGAAAGGACGGAAGACCCUGAUCUUCGCAGCAGCCAGAUAAUAUCAGCUCUCAAUUCAACCCUGGUGAUAAUCAGAUUAUUUUGAUAAAUUGAUAAACAAUCAGAUCAAUAUCUGCUCUUGGUCAAAUAUUCCCAAGCUACGAGGCUUCGGGACAUGCAAUCCUUUCAGUUCGUAUUUUACAGUCGGAGUAUCUUGCAUCCUAAGUGAAAGGACGGAAGACCCUGAUCUUCGCAGCAUCCAGAUAAUACCAGCUCUCAAUUCGACCCUGGCGGUAAUCAGAUUAAUUUUGAUAAGCAAUUAGAUCAAUAUUUGCUUCUUGGUCAAAUAUUCCCAAGCUACGAGGCUUCGGGACAUGCAAUCCGUUCUGUUCGUAUUUUACAGUCGGGGUAUCUUGCAUCACAAGUCAAAGUAUGGAAGAUCCUGAUCUUCGCAGCACUCAGAUAUCAGCUCUCAAUUCGACCCUGGUGGUAAUCAGAUUAUUUUGAUAAAUUGAUAAACAAUCAGAUCAAUAUGUGCUUCUUGGUCAAAUAUUCCCAAGGUACGAGGCUUCUGGACGAGGGAAUCCGUUCUGUUCGUAUUUUACAGUCGGAGUAUCAUGCAUCCCAAGUGAAAGGACGGACGACCCUGAUCUUCGCAGCAUCCAGGUAUCAGCUCUCAAUUCGGUCCUGGUGGUAAUCAGAUUUAUUUUGAUAAACAAUUAGAUCAAUCUGCUUCUUGGUCAAAUAUUCCCAAGCUACGAGGCUUCGGGACAAUCCAUUUAGUUCGUAUUUUACAGUCGGAGUAUCUUGCAUCCCAAGUGAAAGGACGGAAGACCCUGAUCUUCGCAGCAUCCAGAUAAUAGCAGCUCUCAAUUCGACCCUGGCGGUAAUCAGAUUAAUUUUGAUAAACAAUUACAUAGAUCAAUAUCAGCUUCUUGGUCAAAUAUUCCCAAGCUACGAGGCUUCGGGACAUGCAAUCCGUUCUGUUCGUAUUUUACAGUCGGGGUAUCUUGCAUCACAAGUCAAAGUAUGGAAGAUCCUGAUCUUCGCAGCAUCGAGAUAUCAACUUUCAAUUCGACCCUGGUGGUAAUCAGAUAAAUUUUGAUAAACAAUUAGUUAGAUCAAUCUGCUUCUUGGUCAAAUAUUCCCAAGCUACGAGGCUUCGGGACAAUCCGUUCUGUUCGUAUUUUACAGUCGGAGUACCUUGCAUCCCAAGUGAAAGGACCAAAGAUCCUGAUUUGCAGCAUCCACAAGGUUUCAAGAGGAAUGAUCUGAUCUACCUGCCCAGCAUCUGCGAGUCAAAUCCAACAACCAUAUUCAGGGUACCUACUACUUUCGAUCUUUAAAUGGUAACUCUUGACUAUUACUCCUCAAAAUACAAUGUCUUGAAGUCUCGGCCAAAUAAAAAGAAAAUGUUUCUGUACUACGAGUAAAUAAGUCUGCCAUUAAGGUAUGACCUAGGGCGUAUUAUCUACACUUCGUGUUUUCACAGUAGACCGCCUCCAUGUGUAAGGGAAAAGAGUGCUUCAUCUACUAAUAGUGCAAGAUGUAUCCUCGCCACCUUGUCAACUCGGCUCUGAACUGGUAAUUUUACGUACUUUUAUGAUCGCCUUACCACCAAGAUAUUGACUUCCUCGAUUUUACUUUUACUACCCAGUAACCAGGUAUAUUCCUAAGCUACGGCCUCUCAGGAGGUAUGGAAACCAUGCAGUUUAUAUUUUGCAGUUUCGACGCACGUUGCACGUUAUUGAAGGUGAAUCUCACAUCGAUGUAGGUGCGCCAAUCUAAGUAGAAUAAAUCAACGAAUGUUAUAAGAUUGAAUUACACUGGGAAGACUACAAGUUGUUCGCUGCGAGUUAUAGAAAUGUCAUCUCCGACCCCUCAUACGCAGUCUACUAAAUAUCACAGCCGGGAAGAGACCUAUACUUUGGUAACGAAACUUUUAAGUAGCUAAUAUGUGUUAACGGUGAUGCAAUCCUGACAGAAUAUGCUGUGAUAAAGUAUGUACUAAUAGUUCUUCACAGUCUUGUUAUUACUCACACGUACCUUUAAGCCACGGAUCCUCGGACUACUUAUGGAAUGUGCUACGAGUACUGCAAGCAAAACACAUUUAAUCUUUUAGAAGCAACCGAUAAGUGAGAUGCAUGAUUUUGAUAAUCCUGUCUUCUGCCUAAUGCUUGGAUUAGUCACCGUCACCAGCUCUCUCCGAUAUAAGCAUCAUCAACAUCACUGGUACCUACUACAAGACGGAAAGGUGCACCACUCUUGGCUAUGUUUUCAUCGCUAUGAUAUUGGUAACCCACCUUUGUGUUUGUGAUACUAAACUUGAAGACCGUCCAUUAUUAGUUUUGUGCAGCAUGCACUAGCAGCAUACUUGACUGUCUUUUGUGUUAGCAGUUUAUGAGUACCGCGCGCACUGUGUGGCUUCCAAUGGAUCUACAAAAAAAAAGUAGAUUAAAACUGUGGUCAUGUUUCUUGGGAAUUAACUACUUACGUAGGUAUGUAAGUGUGUUGUGCGUAUGUAUUUAGGUAUGUUCUUUGGGUUUUACUUGUGCUCAAAAUGCGUGAUAAUUUUUUCUCUUUCCUAACCUGUGACUGGGUAUGUGCAAUCGUAGACAUGCUUGCAUUUUACAGAAGGGUGCAUUGGUAUUAUAAGUGAUAAACUGGUGCUGGUUUACGAGCUUCGUGUUGCAUAUCCGCCACACCUAUUACCAAACACCUCGGCUUCAAGAAGUGAUUUGUUUAAACUGGUAACCAACUGCACCGAUUUUAUUGCAUCUUGUGGAAGCUAGAAUACUGGACAUAGAAAAGACUGAUUUGAAGUAGUGUGUCUUGUGUUUGAGUAAGCAGUUCUUUCGUUUAGUGUGUGUAUUAAUUCAGUAGACAUUGUUUCCUAGCUCCUUCUGAGCUAUAGUCGUAGUUUAAGAUAGGCAAACAAAUUGUUUAAAGACAGCAGGCGCCUCGGUAGUACUUCAGCCAGCCUGUAGAGACGUCUCCGGUGCGGCAGAGCAGGCGUCCUUUGCCUUUCGUGGCCUCGCGACUGCAGGCGUCUUCGCAGCGCUGCCGCCAGCCUGUAGAGGCGUCUCCGGUGCGAUAAGCGUUUCCCUGGCCUCGCGACGGCAGGCGUCUCCGGUGCGGCAG